CAAUAGCGUAUAUUAAAGUUGUUGCAGUUAAAAAGCUCGUAGUUGGAUUUCUGGUCGGAAGCUCCUGUCCUCUGAUGAGCGUACAAGUGCGUCCUACCAUCCUUCUGUUAACCUUUAAGGCUUUCGCGGCUUUCUAGGGGCUCAGAUAUUUUACCUUGAGAAAAUUAGAGUGUUUCAGGUAGGCUAGCGCCGGAAUACAUUAGCAUGGAAUAAUGGAAUAGGACUUUUGCCUCUUCUGUUGGUCAUGAGGCUCGAGUAAUGAUUAAUAGGGAUAGUUGGGGGCAUUAGUACUUAACUGUCAGAGGUGAAAUUCUCGGAUUUGUUAAAGACUAACUUAUGCGAAAGCAUUUGCCAAGGAUGUUUUCAUUAA
RNAcentral lists this ribosomal RNA (370 nucleotides) under uncultured eukaryote. RNAcentral's name for it is "partial 18S ribosomal RNA". It matches the Rfam family "Eukaryotic small subunit ribosomal RNA", at positions 592 to 976 of the family's 1831-position model. The record is from RNAcentral.